GAAUAUUGGACAAUGGGGGCAACCCUGAUCCAGCCAUGCCGCGUGUGUGAAGAAGGCCUUCGGGUUGUAAAGCACUUUCAGUAGGGAGGAAAGCCUGGUGGCUAAUAUCCACUGGGAUUGACGUUACCUACAGAAGCAGCACCGGCUAACUUCGUGCCAGCAGCCGCGGUAAUACGAAGGGUGCAAGCGUUAAUCGGAAUUACUGGGCGUAAAGCGCGCGUAGGCGGUUUGGUAAGUGUGAUGUGAAAGCCCCGGGCUCAACCUGGGAAUUGCCUCACAUACUGCCAGGCUAGAGUACGGUAGAGGGGGGUAGAAUUCCACGUGUAGCGGUGAAAUGCGUAGAGAUGUGGAGGAAUACCAGUGGCGAAGGCGGCCCCCUGGAUCGAUACUGACGCUGAGGUGCGAAAGCGUGGGGAGCAAACAG
Molecule: ribosomal RNA, 424 nt
Filed under: uncultured bacterium
Lineage: Bacteria
Description: bacterial SSU rRNA
Rfam family: Bacterial small subunit ribosomal RNA
Source: RNAcentral